ACAUGAAAAGCCAAACCCCAGGAGAGAACGGAUCCAAAAAGGAGAAAUACCCCGGUCUUCUUCCCUAUAAAAACACACAGGCAACAUCAAAACACCGAAACAAGCAUCCCAAAGAUCCUAUAAGCCUAAAGCAUUCAAUUCCAAUCCAAUAACCGCUGGAACAGAACUCGGGAGCCGAUUCUGUACACAAUAGUCAAAUCCAAUUAUGUCUCCUGGAGGUGUCUUACAGAUGGUGGAUCUAAACAGUCCCAGCGAUGGAUACACACACACACACACACACACACACACAAAAAAUCAUCUGUGCUGCUUUUUUUCCCCAAGACUACAAAAACCAGGUUUACUAUAGUGCGGAAAUGAGUAACGAAUGAGCUCCACCAGGCUGGAAAUUGAUUAAUGUUUCUGCAAUCAUCUCCAUAUUAGUUUAGCUGAAUGGCAUUGCUGUUGAGCUGGACACUAACAGCUGUAAUUAUAGCAAUAAAUAGAGGUAAGCCUGUCCAUGGUAGAUACACAAGAACUGAUGGGCUCUCAACGGAAGGAAAAAAAGCCAGUUUAGGUGUGGUUUUAUUGUUAGGCAUGUUACUUUACACUUUCUUACAGAAGCCGCCGUCGAGGGAUGGGAAAAUUGGGCCGUGCCUGGAGCCUGUAUGUGCCAGACUGAGCUCGUGUGAGAUUUGAGGAGAUAAUUGUAUCGUGACUUACAGCGAGAGGGACUUGCGGAUGGUGCUCACAAGGGGGUACGGGUUGGGUUUGUGCAAUCUGCUUCUAGCUGAAGCAACUUUCCUCGUUUACAGCCUCUUUGUAAAUUCAAUUUUAAGGUUUAAACAAAUCACAAUCAACAUUGUACUAGACUGCAGAAACCUGCCGGAAAACGAAUGUGAGAAACUAGUGCACGUCUGUUUCUGGGGUGAGCUACACAGGUUAUACACGCAGUUUAACAGCCUUUCGAACAUGUAACACCCUCAAGAGCGAAUCUUCCCUUGAUCAUUUAACAAAUGAGCACAGAUAGAUCCUCUCCCAGUCUGACUGAACAGCAGUGCAGUAGGGCAGUUCUUGCUUGACUUCUAGCAUGUCCCCGUAGAGCACCGAUGUGUCUCUGUGGUGUUAUGUAAUUUCUCAUUUCUGGCUUAGUGGAUUUGAAGUAAGAAAUAAAGUUUCUCCAAGUGA
This is a long non-coding RNA of Carassius auratus (goldfish), 1164 nucleotides long. RefSeq lists it as uncharacterized. The record is from RefSeq and is a predicted model, not a curated record. The transcript is spliced from 3 exons. NCBI's taxonomy places the organism in Eukaryota, Metazoa, Chordata, Actinopteri, Cypriniformes, Cyprinidae.